GUGCUUGCUUCGGCAGCACAUAUACUAAAAUUGGAAUGAUACAGAGAAGAUUAUCAUGGCCCCUGCGCAAGGAUGACAUGCAAAUUCAUGAAGCUUUCCAUAUUAAA
Molecule: small nuclear RNA, 107 nt
Organism: Dasypus novemcinctus (nine-banded armadillo)
Lineage: Eukaryota; Metazoa; Chordata; Mammalia; Cingulata; Dasypodidae
Source: Ensembl